RNAcentral lists this ribosomal RNA (254 nucleotides) under uncultured bacterium. RNAcentral's name for it is "partial 16S ribosomal RNA". It matches the Rfam family "Bacterial small subunit ribosomal RNA", at positions 524 to 776 of the family's 1533-position model. The record is from RNAcentral.
UACGGGGGGGAGCAAGCGUUGUUCGGAUUUACUGGGCGUAAAGGGCGCGUAGGCGGUCGUGACAAGUCACUUGUGAAAUCUCCGGGCUUAACUCGGAAAGGUCAAGUGAUACUGUCGGACUAGAGUACAGAAGGGGCAACUGGAAUUCUCGGUGUAGCGGUGAAAUGCGUAGAUAUCGAGAGGAACACCUGCGGCGAAGGCGGGUUGCUGGGCUGAUACUGACGUGAGGCGCGAAAGCUAGGGGAGCGAACGGG